This 820-nucleotide long non-coding RNA is filed under the name Nicotiana benthamiana. RNAcentral's name for it is "long non-coding RNA (NBEN_LNC036985)". The record is from RNAcentral. Lineage: Eukaryota; Viridiplantae; Streptophyta; Magnoliopsida; Solanales; Solanaceae.
AAGGACUUUAUUUCUAUUUUGUUAGGUCAUUUAUGUAUUGUUAGCAGUUGUUUUUUCUUUAUGGAAUAAUAAAUGCAUCGUGUAACCUCAAUGUUACUCCAAGACUUCAUUUGAACUUUGUGUUAUGUGCCCUUUCUAAAGAAUCAUGUUCAGAGGCGCGGGUCAAGGAUUUGGAUUGAAUCAAAAUCUGCUUCGUAUAUAGGAUGUCUAUUAUUGUUAUAUGACUAUUUUUUAAAGACAUAUACAUAUAUACAUAAAAAUUUUACCGAACUUUACGGGUGCCCGUCAUCCCUCUUUAUAUAAUAUAGGUCCGUCCUCUGAUCAUGUACCAAGUCCGAACCCAAGAGCUCAGUCUCUUUGAGUUCGAACCAACUAAUUGGUGAUCAUCUACAUUGUGUUUAUGCUAACAUAAAUAUGUUAAACAGGAAGGUUAUAUGGUUCUCCCUAGCAAAUCAGCAGAACCAGUUCCCCUCGAUCGCUUAAAGAGCAGAUUGAUCUUCCAUGAUGGUCGCUUGGUUCAGCGCCCAAAUCCAUUCAAUGCCUUAAUCACCUAUAUGUGGCUGCCAUUCGGAUUUGCUCUCGCUAUAUUCCGUGUAUACUUCAAUCUCCCUCUCCCAGAGCGCAUUGUUCGCUUGGUUCAGCGCCCAAAUCCACUCAAUGCCUUAAUCACCUAUAUGUGGCUGCCAUUCGGAUUUGCUCUCGCUAUAUUCCGUGUAUACUUCAAUCUCCCUCUCCCAGAGCGCAUUGUUCGUUAUACAUAUGCAUUGGUUGGGAUCAAGCUUGAGAUCAAAGGCCCUCGACCACCUCCACCAUCACCAGG